AACAUCUAAGUACCCCGAGGAAAAGAAAUCAACCGAGAUUCCGAAAGUAGCGGCGAGCGAAAUUGGACUAGCCCUUAAGCUUUACACGCGUUAGACGAACGGUCUGGAAAGUCCGACGAUACAGGGUGAUAGUCCCGUAGUUGACGACGUGUGUUCAGUGAAAUCGAGUAGGGCGGGACACGUGAUAUCCUGUCUGAAUAUGGGGGGACCAUCCUCCAAGGCUAAAUACUACUGACUGACCGAUAGUGAACCAGUACCGUGAGGGAAAGGCGAAAAGAACCCCUGUGAGGGGAGUGAAAUAGAACCUGAAACCGUGUACGUACAAGCAGUAGGAGCAGGCUUUGUCCUGUGACUGCGUACCUUUUGUAUAAUGGGUCAGCGACUUAUAUUCAGUGGCAAGGUUAACCAUCUAGGGGAGCCGUAGGGAAACCGAGUCUUAACUGGGCGUUCAGUCUCUGGAUAUAGACCCGAAACCAGGUGAUCUAGCCAUGGGCAGGUUGAAGGUUGAGUAACAUCAACUGGAGGACCGAACCGACUAAUGUUGAAAAAUUAGCGGAUGACUUGUGGCUAGGGGUGAAAGGCCAAUCAAACCUGGAGAUAGCUGGUUCUCCCCGAAAGCUAUUUAGGUAGCGCCUCGGACGAAUACUACUGGGGGUAGAGCACUGUUAAGGCUAGGGGGUCAUCCCGACUUACCAACCCUUUGCAAACUCCGAAUACCAGUAAGUACUAUCCGGGAGACACACGGCGGGUGCUAACGUCCGUCGUGGAGAGGGAAACAACCCAGACCGCCAGCUAAGGUCCCAAAUUACUACUAAGUGGGAAACGAUGUGGGAAGGCUCAGACAGCCAGGAUGUUGGCUUAGAAGCAGCCAUCAUUUAAAGAAAGCGUAAUAGCUCACUGGUCGAGUCGGCCUGCGCGGAAGAUGUAACGGGGCUAAGUAGUAAACCGAAGCUGCGGCAAUGUGCUUUUGCACAUUGGGUAGGGGAGCGUUCUGUAAGCGGUUGAAGGUGUGUGGUAACGCAUGCUGGACGUAUCAGAAGUGCGAAUGCUGACAUGAGUAACGAUAAAGGGGGUGAAAAACCUCCUCGCCGGAAGACCAAGGGUUCCUGUCCAACGUUAAUCGGGGCAGGGUAAGUCGACCCCUAAGGCGAGGCCGAAAGGCGUAGUCGAUGGGAAACGGGUUAAUAUUCCCGUACUUCUUACAAUUGCGAUGGGGGGACGGAGAAGGCUAGGUGGGCCUGGCGACGGUUGUCCAGGUUCAAGUGCGUAGGCUUAAGA
Molecule: ribosomal RNA, 1278 nt
Filed under: Vibrio parahaemolyticus
Lineage: Bacteria; Pseudomonadati; Pseudomonadota; Gammaproteobacteria; Vibrionales; Vibrionaceae
Description: partial 23S ribosomal RNA
Rfam family: Bacterial large subunit ribosomal RNA
Source: RNAcentral